RNAcentral lists this ribosomal RNA (164 nucleotides) under uncultured bacterium. RNAcentral's name for it is "partial 16S rRNA". It matches the Rfam family "Bacterial small subunit ribosomal RNA", at positions 355 to 511 of the family's 1533-position model. The record is from RNAcentral.
UAGGGAAUUUUCCACAAUGGACGCAAGUCUGAUGGAGCAACACCGCGUGAGUGAAGAAGGGUUUCGGCUCGUAAAGCUCUGUUGUUAAAGAAGAACACGUAUGAGAGUAACUGUUCAUACGUUGACGGUAUUUAACCAGAAAGUCACGGCUAACUACGUGCCAG